GACGAACGCUGGCGGCGUGCCUAAUACAUACAAGUAGAACGCACAGUUUAUACCGUAGCUUGCUACACCAUAGACUGUGAGUUGCGAACGGGUGAGUAACGCGUAGGUAACCUGCCUGGUAGCGGGGGAUAACUAUUGGAAACGAUAGCUAAUACCGCAUAAUAUUAAUUAUUGCAUGAUAAUUAAUUGAAAGGUGCAAUUGCACCACUACCAGAUGGACCUGCGUUGUAUUAGCUAGUAGGUGAGGUAACGGCUCACCUAGGCGACGAUACAUAGCCGACCUGGGAGGGGGAUCGGCCACACUGGGACUGAGACACGGCCCAGACUCCUACGGGAGGCAGCAGUAGGGAAUCUUCGGCAAUGGACGAAAGUCUGACCGAGCAACGCCGCGUGAGUGAAGAAGGUUUUCGGAUCGUAAAGCUCGGUUGUAAGAGAAGAACGGGUGUGAGAGUGGAAAGUUCACACUGUGACGGUAUCUUACCAGAAAGGGACGGCUAACUACGUG
This 505-nucleotide ribosomal RNA is filed under the name uncultured bacterium. RNAcentral's name for it is "partial 16S ribosomal RNA". It matches the Rfam family "Bacterial small subunit ribosomal RNA", at positions 28 to 507 of the family's 1533-position model. The record is from RNAcentral.